UUAAGGGCAAAGAAGAGGAGAGUAGCCUUUUUCUUGACUUCCAGAGAGGAAAGCCUAAGGCUGAGAGGCUUUCUAAGUCGAGAAAAGGUGAACACCACCUUGGAGCUCCAUGCUGAAAUUCCUAAGUGGAAGAGUAAGCAUUGGCGGUUGAUCCCGUUAUAGAUCAAGAGAAAGUCCCUUUGGGGACUUAUUAAGGUGGAACCGCGGGAACUCCCGUCCUUUAC
RNAcentral lists this non-coding RNA (224 nucleotides) under Dictyoglomus turgidum. Its description in RNAcentral is "T-box sequence". It matches the Rfam family "T-box leader". From Rfam's summary of the family: Uncharged tRNA acts as the effector for transcription antitermination of genes in the T-box leader family. T-boxes are found upstream of many aminoacyl-tRNA synthetase genes and some amino acid biosynthetic genes usually in Gram-positive bacteria. The record is from RNAcentral. Lineage: Bacteria; Pseudomonadati; Dictyoglomota; Dictyoglomia; Dictyoglomales; Dictyoglomaceae.